UAGAGGUCAGGGAAAACAAGCUUG
This 24-nucleotide non-coding RNA is filed under the name Mus musculus (house mouse). Lineage: Eukaryota; Metazoa; Chordata; Mammalia; Rodentia; Muridae. The record is from RNAcentral.